Molecule: ribosomal RNA, 116 nt
Filed under: Danio rerio (zebrafish)
Lineage: Eukaryota; Metazoa; Chordata; Actinopteri; Cypriniformes; Danionidae
Source: RNAcentral
GCUAGCAGCUAGCUUUUCAACAACCCUCAUGUGGUUGCCCACUGAAGCUAAGCAGGGCUUCGCCCAGUCAGUCUCUGGAUGGGAGAUCACAUGGAAAAGCUAGGUUGCUGCCAGAA